Molecule: ribosomal RNA, 425 nt
Filed under: uncultured bacterium
Lineage: Bacteria
Description: partial 16S ribosomal RNA
Rfam family: Bacterial small subunit ribosomal RNA
Source: RNAcentral
GUUAGGAAUAUUGGACAAUGGGCGCAAGCCUGAUCCAGCCAUGCCGCGUGAGUGAUGAAGGCCUUCGGGUUGUAAAGCUCUUUAGUCCACGAAUAUAAUGACUGUAGUGGAAGAAUAAGCCCCGGCUAACUUCGUGCCAGCAGCCGCGGUAAUACGAAGGGGGCGAGCGUUAUUCGGAAUCACUGGGCGUAAAGCGUGCGUAGGCUGUUUUGUAAGUCAGAAGUGAAAGCCCAGGGCUUAACCCUGGGAUUGCUUUUGAAACUACAAGACUCGAAUUCGGGAGAGGAUAGCGGAAUUGUCAGUGUAGCAGUGAAAUGCGUAGAUAUUGACAGGAACACCAGUGGCGCAAGCGGCUAUCUGGACCGAUAUUGACGCUGAAGCACGAAAGCGUGGGGAGCAAACAGGAUUAGAUACCCUAGUAGUCC